AGAGUUUGAUCAUGGCUCAGAUUGAACGCUGGCGGCAGGCCUAACACAUGCAAGUCGAGCGGUAGCACAGAGAGCUUGCUCUCGGGUGACGAGCGGCGGACGGGUGAGUAAUGUCUGGGAAACUGCCUGAUGGAGGGGGAUAACUACUGGAAACGGUAGCUAAUACCGCAUAAUGUCGCAAGACCAAAGUGGGGGACCUUCGGGCCUCAUGCCAUCAGAUGUGCCCAGAUGGGAUUAGCUUGUAGGUGGGGUAACGGCUCACCUAGGCGACGAUCCCUAGCUGGUCUGAGAGGAUGACCAGCCACACUGGAACUGAGACACGGUCCAGACUCCUACGGGAGGCAGCAGUGGGGAAUAUUGCACAAUGGGCGCAAGCCUGAUGCAGCCAUGCCGCGUGUGUGAAGAAGGCCUUCGGGUUGUAAAGCACUUUCAGCGGGGAGGAAGGCGUUAAGGUUAAUAACCUUGGCGAUUGACGUUACCCGCAGAAGAAGCACCGGCUAACUCCGUGCCAGCAGCCGCGGUAAUACGGAGGGUGCAAGCGUUAAUCGGAAUUACUGGGCGUAAAGCGCACGCAGGCGGUCUGUCAAGUCGGAUGUGAAAUCCCCGGGCUCAACCUGGGAACUGCAUUCGAAACUGGCAGGCUAGAGUCUUGUAGAGGGGGGUAGAAUUCCAGGUGUAGCGGUGAAAUGCGUAGAGAUCUGGAGGAAUACCGGUGGCGAAGGCGGCCCCCUGGACAAAGACUGACGCUCAGGUGCGAAAGCGUGGGGAGCAAACAGGAUUAGAUACCCUGGUAGUCCACGCCGUAAACGAUGUCGAUUUGGAGGUUGUGCCCUUGAGGCGUGGCUUCCGGAGCUAACGCGUUAAAUCGACCGCCUGGGGAGUACGGCCGCAAGGUUAAAACUCAAAUGAAUUGACGGGGGCCCGCACAAGCGGUGGAGCAUGUGGUUUAAUUCGAUGCAACGCGAAGAACCUUACCUGGUCUUGACAUCCACAGAACUUUCCAGAGAUGGAUUGGUGCCUUCGGGAACUGUGAGACAGGUGCUGCAUGGCUGUCGUCAGCUCGUGUUGUGAAAUGUUGGGUUAAGUCCCGCAACGAGCGCAACCCUUAUCCUUUGUUGCCAGCGGUCCGGCCGGGAACUCAAAGGAGACUGCCAGUGAUAAACUGGAGGAAGGUGGGGAUGACGUCAAGUCAUCAUGGCCCUUACGACCAGGGCUACACACGUGCUACAAUGGCAUAUACAAAGAGAAGCGACCUCGCGAGAGCAAGCGGACCUCAUAAAGUAUGUCGUAGUCCGGAUUGGAGUCUGCAACUCGACUCCAUGAAGUCGGAAUCGCUAGUAAUCGUAGAUCAGAAUGCUACGGUGAAUACGUUCCCGGGCCUUGUACACACCGCCCGUCACACCAUGGGAGUGGGUUGCAAAAGAAGUAGGUAGCUUAACCUUCGGGAGGGCGCUUACCACUUUGUGAUUCAUGACUGGGGUGAAGUCGUAACAAGGUAACCGUAGGGGAACCUGCGGUUGGAUCACCU
This 1528-nucleotide ribosomal RNA is filed under the name Klebsiella pneumoniae. RNAcentral describes it as "bacterial SSU rRNA". It matches the Rfam family "Bacterial small subunit ribosomal RNA". The record is from RNAcentral. Lineage: Bacteria; Pseudomonadati; Pseudomonadota; Gammaproteobacteria; Enterobacterales; Enterobacteriaceae.